AAUUUCCAUCCACAUUUUAUUAGAAAAUGAUGCAUCAAUUUGCAAAACAUGACUGAGAAUUUCUGAAAAGAAAAUAGUGAGAUUGCUAGAUUAGGUAAGAAAUUGCCAUAGAACUAAGAAGAAAUUACCAUAGAACUAAGAAGAAAUUGAGGGGAGACAUUGUGUGGUGCCCAUGGCCAUGUAUGUGAAUGUGAUAAAACACCCUGUAACAAUUAAGAAAUUGGAGAAAUCCAGGAGAGUGAGGAUUUGAUUCUUGAUAUUGCAUGCUAACAUUAAGAAUAACAUGGGGAAGGAUGAAGGAGAAAGAAGAUGAAGAAGCUGUGUGUGCUGUUGAAAGUGGAGGAGAAAGU
Molecule: unclassified non-coding RNA, 350 nt
Filed under: Hevea brasiliensis (rubber tree)
Lineage: Eukaryota; Viridiplantae; Streptophyta; Magnoliopsida; Malpighiales; Euphorbiaceae
Source: RNAcentral